CACAGUCACCAGGGGUGCCGACCGUCAACAGCGUCGGCUGAGAGAACACCGUGUUCAACCCUAGGAACCUGAUCUGGUUCAUACCAGCGGAGGGAGCGUGACGGGUGCCGAAA
This 113-nucleotide non-coding RNA is filed under the name Deinococcus soli (ex Cha et al. 2016). RNAcentral's name for it is "Deinococcus soli TPP sequence". It matches the Rfam family "TPP riboswitch aptamer (THI element)". From Rfam's summary of the family: Vitamin B(1) in its active form thiamin pyrophosphate (TPP) is an essential coenzyme that is synthesised by coupling of pyrimidine and thiazole moieties in bacteria. The previously detected thiamin-regulatory element, thi box was extended, resulting in a new, highly conserved RNA secondary structure, the THI element, which is widely distributed in eubacteria and also occurs in some archaea. The record is from Rfam by way of RNAcentral. Lineage: Bacteria; Thermotogati; Deinococcota; Deinococci; Deinococcales; Deinococcaceae.